Molecule: ribosomal RNA, 2799 nt
Filed under: uncultured Corallinales
Lineage: Eukaryota; Rhodophyta; Florideophyceae; Corallinales
Description: LSU rRNA
Rfam family: Eukaryotic large subunit ribosomal RNA
Source: RNAcentral
GAAUUUAAGCAUAUUAUUAAGCGGAGGAAAAGAAACUAACUAGGAUUCCCUCAGUAGCGGCGAGCGAAGCGGGAUUAGACCGAGAUGAAAAUCCCUUCGGGGAGUUGUAAUCUGAGCAAUGUUGAGUGUUCAGUGAAUGUAAGUCACAUGAAAAUGUGUACCGGGGAGGGUGAAAGUCCCGUCCAGCAUUCACAGGAAUUUCUCGUACGACAUUGUUUCAACCGAGUCGGGUAGCUUGAGAACGCUGCUCUAAUAGGUGGUAAACUUCAUCUAAGUCUAAAUACUAGUGGGAGACCGAUAGCAAACAAGUACCGUGAGGGAAAGAUGAAAAACACUUUGAAAAGAGGGUGAAAAGUAUCUGAAACCGCCAGGGGGGAAGCGAAUUGCAUCAAAGCGGGCCUCGGAUUGUUCAGCAAACCUUCGCGGUUUGUGUACUCAGUCCGAUGGCUAUGUUGAGAUGGCUGUUGCAUUCUGGAACACAUGAACAUUUGUUUGUGAUGCAGAGAGUGAUGGUGAGGGCUCCCGAAAGGUUUAAGAGGAUCUCAACUAAUGGAUGCGAUUCGACCCGUCUUGAAACACGGACCAAGGAGUUUAGCACUACUGCGAGUCGAAGGGUGUGGAAACCUAGAGGCGAAGUGAAAGCGAAAGCUUGAGAAAUCUGCUACAGAUUGGGGAGGUGUUGCGUCAUUGACAAAGCAUCCUACCUGGAGCAGUAGUGCUGAGACCCGAAAGAUGGUGAACUAUGCUUGAGUAGGGCAAAGCCAGAGGAAACUCUGGUGGAGGCUCGUAGCGAUGCUGACGUGCAAAUCGCUCGUCGAACUUGAGUAUAGGGGCGAAAGACUAAUCGAACCAUCUAGUAGCUGGUUCCCUCCGAAGUUUCUCUCAGGAUAGCAGGCCGACGAUGUGGGUUGUUUUGUGUGGUAAAGCGAAUGAUUAGCGUAUUUGGGGGUGUAAUGCCUUCGGUCGAUUCUCAAACUUUAAAUACGCAAGAUAGAGAUGGUUGCUUAAUUGAACCUCUCUCCUGAAAACGUCGGCCUUGUGGGCCACUUUUGGUAAGCAGAACUGGCGAUAUGGGAUGAACCAUAAGUUUGGUUAAGGCGACUAAAUCUUCGCUUAGAGAUACCACGAAAGGUGUUGGUUCAUAUAGACAGCAGGACGGUGGCCAUGGAAGUCGGAAUCCGCUAAGGAGUGUGUAACAACUCACCUGCCGAAUGAACUAGCCCUGAAAAUGGAUGUCGCUUAAGCGGAGUGCCGACACCGAACCGUUUUGGGGAGCAACGACCAAAAUGAGUAGGAGGGCGUGGCGAUUUUGUUCAGAAGGGUUCGACGCGAGUCGGCCUGGAACGGUCGCUAGUGCAGAUCUUGGUGGUAGUAGCAAAUAUUAAAGCGUGAUCCUUUAAGGACGAAGCGGGGAAGGGUUCCAUGCGAACAUUGAUUGGGCAUGGGUGAGUCGUUCCUAAGCCGGGUGGUAAUCGUUCCGACGAUCGGCGAAAGGGAAGUUGGUUAAAAUUCCAACACACGGAUGUGAAGGCGGCAACGCAAAUUGAGGUGGAGACACUAGCAGUGAAACUAGGCAGAGUUUUCUUUUCUGUUUAACCUGUGCCGUACUCUGUGGAAUCCGUUUAUCGGGAGAAACAGGUGCUUAGCGGGAAGAGCGUAGGGGUGUCCCCUGCGUCUAGUAAUUCGCUGAUAGUCCUUGAAAAUCCAUCUGCAAUGUAAUUUCACGCCGUGGCGUACCGAUAACCGCAGCAGGUCCCCAAGGUGAACAGCCUCUGUCUAAUAUGAACAAUGCAGGUAAGGGAAGUCGGCAAAAUAGACCCGUAACUUUGGGAAAAGGGUUGGCUCUAGUGGGGCGAAGGACAAACUGGCUCGUGGUGGUUUGGUGUGGUGUGUCUGUUUCGGGUAAACUGUGGUCAAACAUUGUUUCGCCUGGGACGGAUGCCUGCAUUGAGCUGCCGCGGUCCGACCUUCAUCAUGCUCCAAACUAGAACUGCAACGGGCAAAGGGAAUCCGACUGUUUAAUUAAAACAAAGCAUUGCGAUGGCCGGGGACGGUGUAGACGCAAUGUGAUUUCUGCUCAGUGCUCUGAAUGUCAAAGUGAAGAGAUUCAAACAAGCGCGGGUAAACAGCGGGAGUAACUAUGACUCUCUUAAGGUAGCCAAAUGCCUCGUCAUCUAAUUAGUGACGCGCAUGAAUGGAUUAACGAGAUUCCUACUGUCCCUAUCUGCUUCUAGCGAAACCACAGCCGGGGGAACGGGCCCGGCAAAAUCGGCGGGGAAAGAAGACCCUGUUGAGCUUGACUCUAUUCUAAUUUUGUGACGCAAGUUAGGAGGUGUAGCAUAGGUGGGAGACUUCGGUCGCCAAUGAAAUACCACUACUCUUAAUCUUGUUUUACUUACGGCGUUAAACUGCACGAUCAUUUUGGUCUUUUUUGGGUUCAACUUGGAAGAAAUGACGGAGGGGGGGUGUCUUCGCGGGCAUCUCACCUCCAUCUCCUCGGAGCAGCGCGCCGGACAGAUUUAGGAGGGGAGUUUGGCUGGGGCGGCACAUCUUCUACAAGACAACGAAGGUGUCCAAAGAUAAGCUCAGUGAGAACAGAAAUCUCACGUAGCGCAAAAGGGUAAAAGCUUGUUUGAUUUUGAUUUUCAGUGUGAGUUAAAAAUACGAAAGUAUGGCCUAUCGAUCCUUUUAUAUUUCGAGGUUUGAAACAAGAGGUGUCAGAAAAGUUACCACAGGGAUAACUGGCUUGUGGCGGCCAAGCGUUCAUAGCGACGUCGCUUUUUGAUCCUUCGAUGUCGG